RNAcentral lists this ribosomal RNA (488 nucleotides) under uncultured bacterium. Its description in RNAcentral is "bacterial SSU rRNA". It matches the Rfam family "Bacterial small subunit ribosomal RNA", at positions 31 to 518 of the family's 1533-position model. The record is from RNAcentral.
GAACGCUAGCGACAGGCUAACACAUGCAAGUCGAGGGACGAGCAUAAAGUAGCAAUACUUGGUGCGACGGCGCACGGUGAGUAACGCGUAUGCAACUACCUAUCAGAGGGGAAUAACCCGGCGAAAGUCGGACUAAUACCGCAUAAACAGGGGCACCGCAUGGUGAUAUUUGUUAAGAAAUUCGCUGAUAGAUGGGCAUGCGUUCCAUUAGGUAGUUGGUGAGGUAACGGCUCACCAAGCCGACGAUGGAUAGGGGAACUGAGAGGUUGGUCCCCCACACUGGUACUGAGACACGGACCAGACUCCUACGGGAGGCAGCAGUGAGGAAUAUUGGUCAAUGGGCGGGAGCCUGAACCAGCCAAGUCGCCGUGAAGGAAGAAGGAUCUAUGGUUCGUAAACUUCUUUUGCAGGGGAAUAAAGUGCAGGACGUGUCCUGUUUUGUAUGUACCCUGAGAAUAAGGAUCGGCUAACUCCGUGCCAGCCGCCGC